RNAcentral lists this ribosomal RNA (994 nucleotides) under uncultured bacterium. RNAcentral describes it as "bacterial SSU rRNA". It matches the Rfam family "Bacterial small subunit ribosomal RNA", at positions 355 to 1375 of the family's 1533-position model. The record is from RNAcentral.
UGGGGAAUAUUGCACAAUGGGGGAAACCCUGAUGCAGCGACGCCGCGUGGAGGAAGAAGGUCUUCGGAUUGUAAACUCCUGUUGUUGGGGAAGAUAAUGACGGUACCCAACAAGGAAGUGACGGCUAACUACGUGCCAGCAGCCGCGGUAAAACGUAGGUCACAAGCGUUGUCCGGAAUUACUGGGUGUAAAGGGAGCGCAGGCGGGAAGACAAGUUGGAAGUGAAAACCAUGGGCUCAACCCAUGAAUUGCUUUCAAAACUGUUUUUCUUGAGUAGUGCAGAGGUAGAUGGAAUUCCCGGUGUAGCGGUGGAAUGCGUAGAUAUCGGGAGGAACACCAGUGGCGAAGGCGGCCUACUGGGCACCAACUGACGCUGAGGCUCGAAAGUGUGGGUAGCAAACAGGAUUAGAUACCCUGGUAGUCCACACCGUAAACGAUGAUUACUAGGUGUUGGGAGAUUGACCCUCUCAGUGCCGCAGUUAACACAAUAAGUAAUCCACCUGGGGAGUACGACCGCAAGGUUGAAACUCAAAGGAAUUGACGGGGGCCCGCACAAGCAGUGGAGUAUGUGGUUUAAUUCGACGCAACGCGAAGAACCUUACCAAGUCUUGACAUCCCUUGACGAUGCUGGAAACAGUAUUUCUCUUCGGAGCAAGGAGACAGGUGGUGCAUGGUUGUCGUCAGCUCGUGUCGUGAGAUGUUGGGUUAAGUCCCGCAACGAGCGCAACCCUUAUGGUCAGUUACUACGCAAGAGGACUCUGGCCAGACUGCCGUUGACAAAACGGAGGAAGGUGGGGAUGACGUCAAAUCAUCAUGCCCCUUAUGACCUGGGCCUCACACGUACUACAAUGGCUGUUAACAGAGGGAUGCAAAGCCGCAAGGUGGAGCGAACCCCUAAAAGCAGUCUUAGUUCGGACUGCAGGCUGCAACUCGCCUGCACGAAGUCGGAAUUGCUAGUAAUCGUGGAUCAGCAUGCCACGGUGAAUACGUUCCC